Molecule: ribosomal RNA, 328 nt
Filed under: Streptococcus infantis
Lineage: Bacteria; Bacillati; Bacillota; Bacilli; Lactobacillales; Streptococcaceae
Description: bacterial SSU rRNA
Rfam family: Bacterial small subunit ribosomal RNA
Source: RNAcentral
GGAAGGAGCUUGCUCUUUCCGGAUGAGUUGCGAACGGGUGAGUAACGCGUAGGUAACCUGCCUGGUAGCGGGGGAUAACUAUUGGAAACGAUAGCUAAUACCGCAUAACAGUAGAUAUCGCAUGAUAGCUGCUUGAAAGGUGCAAUUGCACCACUACCAGAUGGACCUGCGUUGUAUUAGCUAGUUGGUGAGGUAACGGCUCACCAAGGCAACGAUACAUAGCCGACCUGAGAGGGUGAUCGGCCACACUGGGACUGAGACACGGCCCAGACUCCUACGGGAGGCAGCAGUAGGGAAUCUUCGGCAAUGGACGGAAGUCUGACCGAGC